This 82-nucleotide transfer RNA is filed under the name Hermetia illucens (black soldier fly). RNAcentral describes it as "tRNA-Ser". It matches the Rfam family "tRNA". From Rfam's summary of the family: Transfer RNA (tRNA) molecules are approximately 80 nucleotides in length. Their secondary structure includes four short double-helical elements and three loops (D, anti-codon, and T loops). The record is from Rfam by way of RNAcentral. Lineage: Eukaryota; Metazoa; Arthropoda; Insecta; Diptera; Stratiomyidae.
GCUGCGGUGUCCGAGUGGUUAAGGAGAUGGACUUGAAAUCCAUUGGGUUCUACCCGCACAGGUUCGAAUCCUGUCUGCAGCG